GACGAACGCUGGCGGCGUGCUUAACACAUGCAAGUCGAACGGAAAGGCCCUGCUUUUGUGGGGUGCUCGAGUGGCGAACGGGUGAGUAACACGUGAGUAACCUGCCCUUGACUUUGGGAUAACUUCAGGAAACUGGGGCUAAUACCGGAUAGGAGCUCCUGCUGCAUGGUGGGGGUUGGAAAGUUUCGGCGGUUGGGGAUGGACUCGCGGCUUAUCAGCUUGUUGGUGGGGUAGUGGCAUACCAAGGCUUCGACGGGUAGCCGGCCUGAGAGGGUGACCGGCCACAUUAGGCCUACGAGACGCCCCAGUCUCCUACGGGAGGCAGCGGGGGGAAGUCUGACACAACGGCGGGACGCCUGAUACGACAACCCCCCGUGCGGAAUACCGGCCUUCGGGUUGUAAACCGCUUUCGCCGGAAACGAACCGUGAGUGACGGUAAUUAAUAAAAAAGCACCGGCUAACUACGUG
Molecule: ribosomal RNA, 468 nt
Filed under: uncultured bacterium
Lineage: Bacteria
Description: partial 16S ribosomal RNA
Rfam family: Bacterial small subunit ribosomal RNA
Source: RNAcentral